Molecule: long non-coding RNA, 226 nt
Filed under: Bos taurus (domestic cattle)
Lineage: Eukaryota; Metazoa; Chordata; Mammalia; Artiodactyla; Bovidae
Description: long non-coding RNA NONBTAT012814
Source: RNAcentral
AUGGCUCUGAGCUACCCCAUGGCCAUGGGCCUCAGCAAGAGCUGCAAGGUGACCAAGAACAUGAGCAAGCUGAGGCACAAUGGCCGUCACGGGCACCUUACCAAACACACCACAUUUGUGCAGAACGUGGUCUGGGAGGUGUGCAUCUUAUGAGCAGCAGGUCAUGGAGCUGCUCAAGGUCUCCAAGGACAAGCGGGCCCUCAAGUUCAUCAAGAAAAGGGUCGGG